GCUGGGUGCAGUGGUGCAUACCUAUAAUCCCAGCCACUAGGGAGGCUGAGGCAGGAGGGUCGCAAGUUUAAGGACAGCCUGGGCAAUUUAGAGAGAUUCUGUCUCAA
This 107-nucleotide small RNA is filed under the name Marmota monax (woodchuck). Lineage: Eukaryota; Metazoa; Chordata; Mammalia; Rodentia; Sciuridae. The record is from RNAcentral.